UUUGGGAGCGCUGCCCGUCAAUUCAGAGGGGACAUUCUGCAAAGCUUAGCUUCAGGGGAUGAUGUCACCUCCCUGAGCUGUUGCUUACUGUCCCUGAUCUGCUUACUGGGUACAGUACUCGAGGCUCACACCAACCUCCAGGGAUCUGCAGCAGCUCCGAGAGCCGACCACACCCAGGAGAGACCUUAGGGAAGCAGGAUUCUGGCUUCUUGGAAUGAUUCCUAAAUUUCCCUUGAUAUCACUCACUCUCCCGGCUUGAAGGACUUAGACCAGUGUUUCUCCGUGUGAUUCCAUAGUUGCCAGGAUUCAGAGGGGUGCCCAGGGUUGCCCUAAGCUUUCUCCUUCCCGGAGUCCUGAGCUUCCUGAAGGGCUAUGUUGACAGGGGAGGACAUUGUUGGUUACCACUUCAUCCGUGAAGCAAGUAGCCUCUCUGAUUGGAAAGAGCGUACAGUUCGUAUGACUUAAAAGAUGGCACUCCUAGGUCUGUUUCCAUUUGGAGCUACCCUCUGCCCCUCUGGGCUUCUUUUACUGAGAGACUGUGGAUCACACACAUGUACAGAGGCUCCUCUGGGUACCAUGACAGCAAGCUAGGGACCAAGGGAGAUGGGGUAGACCAACGUGUACACACCUGGCAGCAUAGCUUUGAGCAGGGGUGGCCGUCUUGGCUGCCUACCCCAGCUCCCUGGGGCUUCUAGAACUGUUGGCCCAUGUGGUACAUGUGUUUCCCCUUCAUGCUGGGUGGGUGAGUGACAGUUGGUGGGGGCGGGAGGUGGGACCCACAAGGAUGUAUAAGUACAGAUUUUUAAAAAGAAACUCAUUUAAACUUCCUGGCUCCCAUUCAGAUGGGCGGUGAGCUCCUGUGUGGGCUGACUUGCUAAAGGUCACGCCCCCCGCCCCCCAUCAUCGAGCCCAGACCUUGUGACAGCACAUGAUUGGGAAGACAGGCAGCCUGGCGUGGGGGAGGGCAGCAGCAACCAGGCAGCCAGCUCUGGGGCUCUCCAGCUGUGGUUGCUAGAGGGCUCGAGGUGACCUCAUGGCCUGUACAUCAGCCAUUUGCUGGGAAGAGGCAUCGUUAACUCCAAGAGUCUCCAGCUAUGACCUGGCCAAAAGUUCCCUCCCUCAGAGAAAUGUUUGCUAAAGCAAACCCCGCUGUGAACAAGAAUGCUAGCCAGUUUAACGUGUGUGAAGAACAAAACUCACCGAGCCCUUUAGGAAGGUACCACCUGUCAUGAUAAAGCACUAAGAUACUGUGUCUGGGGACCAGUUAGUGAGAGCCUUAGCACAGUGCUGGGCAGUGCUUUGGGCUGUGUGUGUCAUAGGGGGGAAAGUGGUGUGCAGAGGCAUCUUUCUAGGCUUAUUCUGUUGCCAAGGGUGUCUUGUUCAGUCGGGGUUUGUAUUUACCAUGCUCGUACCCACUCUCUAUCUCCCAAACCAUUCUCACAUUCUCACAUCCAUCCUGCCAGAGGCCCCUCCUUCCUGCUCUACUGGGAUGGGCAGAGCUCAGAUGGGAUUUCCUAGAGCCUUCCAGAGUCUUGAUAAACUGAGUUCUGGGAGUCCUGGUGGAGACUCCCAAGGUCCUGGCCAAACAGGUGCUGGGACAUGGGACAGGCUACAUGUGCCUAUGUGCAGGGUCCAUGGGGCCCUCCUGCUCUUGGGCCACCAGGUGCCUUGGUGGUCAGCUCUGCUUUGCACACGCUGAAGGUUGCUUCAACUGCUUUCCCCAGGCUAGACGUUAGUGCUCUUUAAGAAGUGUUUAAGUUAUAUUUAUUUUGGUUUUUUUUGUUUGUUUUAAUUGCACAAAACACUAAGAUAGAAGGCUGGGCUGUUCUUCCUAAGCUCUACCUGCCCUCUGGGGCCUUUCCUUCAUAGCUGGAGGAGCCCUGAGCAGGUAUGGCCUCAAGAGAGAUGCUGUUCACCUUUGGCUGGCUGUAUUGAGCUUCAAGGUCGCCUGUAUGCUGACAACCCUCUGUGUAUAGGCCCCACGUCUUGAUCGAGGGUGCUCGCCCACCAGUGCCUUUUGGGAGGAGAGGAUCCUCCUUGCACCCUGACAGGCUCUCCUCUGAACUCCUCUCCCCUCUGGACUGUUACAUCCCCUGCCCUGCGCCCCUCAGUCAACUGUAGAUGCUAUCUACCUUCCCAAUAAAGGCUUUGGAGACCAUUACAAG
Molecule: long non-coding RNA, 2165 nt
Filed under: Rattus norvegicus (Norway rat)
Lineage: Eukaryota; Metazoa; Chordata; Mammalia; Rodentia; Muridae
Description: long non-coding RNA NONRATT008513
Source: RNAcentral